CUCAUUGUAAGAAGCCAUUUGGGGCCACAAUUCCCCUGCUCUGUAUGCAUCAUUUGGGGGUGAGGAGGUGGUUUCUCUCAUUAUUUCCAGACUGGAAGACCCUCCUUGUAAGUGAUUAUUUGGAGUCCAAAGCUCUGUUCCUCCCUUCUAGCGGACCUGGCGCUCAGAUCCUGACCUGCUCUGGCCUGAAAAGAAAGGCACAAAAGGGAGGCAAGAACCGUAUGAGGUGUUAUUCUUUGUUUUUCUCAGCCCACCUGGAAUAUUCUAAGAUGCGAGAAUACAAAGAAAGAACUGAUUAGAAAACAUGGAGGAACCAAACAAGAGAAGGUGACAAGACAAAUGUCAUCUUGGGAAGGAGAAAUAAGACUUCUAACUCUGGAAGACUGCAGACACGAUUUAGAAGGCUCUAUGGUAUAACCCACUAGACACUGUGCAUUCUAUCUUUCGUUAAUAUUCUGGUAAUGAACGUAAAUGCCAUAUAA
Molecule: long non-coding RNA, 482 nt
Organism: Panthera uncia (snow leopard)
Lineage: Eukaryota; Metazoa; Chordata; Mammalia; Carnivora; Felidae
Exons: 4
Source: RefSeq, a predicted model, not a curated record